Ipomoea triloba (trilobed morning glory) is the source of this 2345-nucleotide RNA transcript. It is a transcript of the gene named vacuolar cation/proton exchanger 3-like, with no coding region annotated. Lineage: Eukaryota; Viridiplantae; Streptophyta; Magnoliopsida; Solanales; Convolvulaceae. The transcript is spliced from 14 exons. The record is from RefSeq and is a predicted model, not a curated record.
UUAUAUUUGGUCUUAACGUGAAAGAAAAGCUGUACGACUGGAGUCAUCACAAUUCACAAGCAAAAAGACGUUGUCGUUUCAGCUUCCACGCUAUAUAUGCUACGGCCUACUUUUCUCCUCUAUGUUUUCCGAUCCGUCAACAAUAACUACCUCUUUCCGCGUACACCAACCGCUCCUCACCCUCUCCCCAUUCGCACCGCAAACCACGCAAAGACAAGAAUAUUGGAAUUUGGAAGCAGCGAAAGAUGAAAGGGAAAAAAACAAUUUCCUAAAGAAAGACUUCUUUCAAGUUUUCCUCGAAAAUGAUUUCAAAACUAAUCCUGACAUGCAAGUCACGACCUCGGAUUUCUAGCAACACAUGUUGACUAUACUACAGAAUUUUGUUUGGCGGAUUUAGUUAAGUUAUGCCCAUGGUUGGAGAUGGAGCAGUGUCUGUUUUUGCGGCAAAGCAAAAGCAUUAUUAGUGGAUGGGUGAUCACAACCAACACUCGCUAUUUCGCUAGUCAAGCCCGCACAUUGAAAUGGGGUCUUUUGAUGGAAGAGCAGUUCUUGAGUUCCAUGAUGAGAGCCUAGUAAGCCCUGAUCAUGUAAUCGGGAGGCCAAUAUCUCUCGAUCCUUCUCCCCGGAGAUCAUUCUUUUAUACCAGUUCUGAUGAUUUCAGCUGUAAAUGUAUAUUGAAUAGGAUGUUAGCCAGCAUUAAAAUCGUCUUCUUAUCCAAAAAGUUAAACAUUCUUAUAACCUGUGGUCCUCUGGCUGUUCUUGUUGAUAAGUUUUCUAAUCGUCAUGGGUGGAUCUUCAUUCUAAGCUUGUCAGGCAUCAUACCACUUGCGGAGCGUUUAGGUUGGGCAACAGAGCAGCUUGCUUUCUUUACUGGCCCAACAGUUGGAGGGCUUCUAAAUGCCACUUUCGGCAAUGCAACAGAGUUAAUAAUAUCAAUGUAUGCACUUAAUCGUGGCAUGAUGCGAGUUGUUCAGCAGUCACUUUUGGGCUCGAUUCUCUCAAAUAUGUUACUCGUGCUCGGGUGUGCAUUUUUUGCUGGUGGACUUGUUUAUUCUCAUAAAGAACAGGUUUUCAACAAGGGAACUGCAGUCAUGAAUUCAGGGUUGCUUUUGAUGGCUGUAAUGGGGCUUCUGUUACCUGCGGUCCUCCAUUUUACACACACCGAGUUGCAUUUUGGAAAAUCGGAGGUCGCACUUUCUAGGUUUAGUAGCUGUGUAAUGCUUGUAGCAUAUGGUGCUUAUCUUUUCUUCCAGCUGACAAGCGAAAAGAGUCUUUAUAUGCCGAUUGCAGAGGACGCAAAUCGAAAUGACAGUGACAAUGAAGAAGAAGAAGCUCCCGAGAUAUCCAUGUGGUCGUCAAUCAUAUGGCUUUCCAUUUUGACUGCAUGGAUAGCUCUUCUAUCUGAAUAUUUGGUUAACACUAUAGAGGGAGCAUCUAUUGCAUUGAACAUUCCCGUGGCUUUUAUAAGUGUCAUCCUGCUCCCGAUUGUUGGCAAUGCUGCAGAACAUGCUGGCGCUAUCAUGUUUGCUGUGAAAGACAAGCUUGACAUCUCUUUGGGAGUGGCUAUCGGAUCUUCUACACAGAUAGCCAUGUUCGGGAUCCCUUUCUGUGUUGUCGUUGGGUGGAUAAUGGGGCGCCCAAUGAACUUGGACUUCCAGCUUUUCGAAACAGCCACCCUGUUCAUGAGCGUUAUUGUAGUAGCCUUCAUGGUGCAGGAAGGAACUUCAAAUUACUUUAAAGGACUAAUGCUCCUCCUCUGCUAUCUGAUAGUCGCUGCAAGUUUCUUUGUACACAUCGACCCCGAGUCUAUACAGGACAAGCCCACAGAGACUAGUCUACAGACACUGCAGAAGGCAGCUGAAGCCAUAUAUGAUGAUCUCAGAAAUGUUUAAAUUUGAAGAGUUGUGACUGAUCUGAGAGCUGCCCAGUUUGCCAUUGUUGAGUAUGAAGUUCCAUUUUAAAGUUCAACUUCAAGGGCUAUAUACAGUCAAAGAGGCAGAAGCUAUGGGUGCUCGGGAGGCCCUAAGUUGGAUCAAGCAAAAGGGAUGGUCGCGAGUGAUUCUGGAAACGGAUGCUAAGGUGGUGACUCAAGCUGUCUACAAUGGAGAGAUUCUAACCCCUUUCGGGGCCAUUGUUCAAGAAAUCCGUGAUCUUUUAAAUGCUUUACCUUAUGUUAAAUUUAUUUCUGUUAAGCGUAGUGGUAAUCAGUUUGCUCAUGUUAUUGCUAAAAGAGCUCUUUGUAAUGAUGGUUGGGAGCGGGUUGAGUACCUGGACUCUUUACCUCGUUUUCUUUCCUCGUUGGUUUAAUAUAAUUUGGUUUGGUUUGGUUUUCAAAAAAAAAAAAA